This 549-nucleotide ribosomal RNA is filed under the name uncultured fungus. Its description in RNAcentral is "SSU rRNA". It matches the Rfam family "Eukaryotic small subunit ribosomal RNA", at positions 548 to 1098 of the family's 1831-position model. Lineage: Eukaryota; Fungi. The record is from RNAcentral.
UUGGAGGGCAAGUCUGGUGCCAGCAGCCGCGGUAAUUCCAGCUCCAAUAGCGUAUAUUAAAGUUGUUGCAGUUAAAAAGCUCGUAGUUGAAUUUCGGGAUCGACGGGUCGGUCGCGCCUCUGGUGUGUACUGGCCCUGUCGAUUUCUCCCUUCUGACGAACCACGAUGUCAUUAAUUUGGUGUCGUGGGGAAUCAGGACUGUUACUUUGAAAAAAUUAGAGUGUUUAAAGCAAGCAUUCGCUUGAAUACAUUAGCAUGGAAUAAUGAAAUAGGACGUUUGAUCUUAUUUUGUUGGUUUCUAAGAUCGGCGUAAUGAUUAAUAGGGAUAGUUGGGGGCAUUAGUAUUCAAUUGUCAGAGGUGAAAUUCUUGGAUUUAUUGAAGACUAACUACUGCGAAAGCAUUUGCCAAGGAUGUUUUCAUUAAUCAAGAACGAAAGUUAGGGGAUCGAAGACGAUCAGAUACCGUCGUAGUCUUAACCAUAAACUAUGCCGACUAGGGAUCGGAUGAUGUUAAUUUUUUAAUGACUCAUUCGGCGCCUUACGGGAAAC